Molecule: RNA transcript, 2095 nt
Organism: Humulus lupulus (European hop)
Lineage: Eukaryota; Viridiplantae; Streptophyta; Magnoliopsida; Rosales; Cannabaceae
Exons: 6
Source: RefSeq, a predicted model, not a curated record
UAAUUUCCUAUUAUUUGUAGAUAUUGCUGAAAAGAAAAACCUAACAUAGAAACUGUAAGCCCAAUCCAAAUCUAAACCCGAAAAGUAGAAAAAGGAUCAUAUUCAUCGUUUUCUUAUAGUUUCUCCCAUUGGCUUCUGGUUUUCCUUCUCCGUCUCCACCACCACUUAUCGUCGCCGACGUAUCAACACCGCUGCCCCCGACCACCGCCACUAUUAACAAGAUCAAGACUUUGGUUCUCAUUUUCCCUACAUCGAUUUUGGAUUUCGGAUUCAUAGGAGCUGGAAAGUUAGUGAAGGAGGACUUCUGGGUUACGCGUUUAAAUGGCGUCAUCGUCACUGAUAACCCCAGAAGAUGUGUUGGAAAUGCUGAUGAAUGAUGGCACCAUUGAUUCCCUCAGAUUGAAGAUCAUCAACCAGCUCAAAGCCAAUGAAGAACUUAAGAAUACUACUAUUAAAAUGGCAGAACAGAGUAAGGUUCUUAAUACUCCUGGUGCAGAAAAACAGACCAAAAGGGAGCUUUUUGAUGCCCUCAGACAGGAACUUGAGACUCCUGUACUUGAGAAGGCCUCUAAGUCGGUCUGGGAUCUUAUUUUAGACAAUAAUGGACUGGGAAAGGAAAUCAGUGAAACAGUUGAAAGGGUAUUUUGUCGAUUGAGUGGCCAGGAGCCUCCAUUAUUUCCUACUUCAGAUGCUGAAACUCAAACCGGUAAAGAUAUUGCAAAUGAGAAAGCGAAAGAGAGGAAUGAUGAGAGUGAAAAGGAGAAAUCAAAUUCAGCCUCAAAGAAAAGGAGUUAUAAUGAAAUAAGUACAGCAGAAGAAAAUGAUUUAACAAGCAAGCAUGAUGAUUCUUCUUCUUUAGCAGAAGAAGCUAGUAAAUCUCCACUAAAAAGUUCCAAGACAUGAACUCUUAAACAUUUGAGCUUUUUUGGCAACAUUACAUGUGUAUGAAUAGGAUUAAGUGUGGUUAUUAAAGAAAUAACUUGAAAUUGGAGGAAAAACAUUUAAUUCUUGAAGAAAUGGUGUUAAACGGGCUAAGGAAUGGAAAUUGGGCGAAACCGGUGAAAAUUUGGAAUUAGAGCCGCAGCCCUCAGAGUAACAGAGAAGAAAGAAAAAUUCAGCCAGAAUUAGUGCUGCGGCUCUACCAGAUAGAGCUGCGGUGCUACAUACUCCAGAGACAAAAUCUGGAACGUGAAGCAACCCAGAGCCAUAGCGCCAGUCCGUACAGAAGCAAAAUUUAAGGUAUUUUUCAAGGGCAAUUUUGUCCUUUCGCACAUAAUUAAUUAGGGAUUUAAUUCUUGAAGAAAUUGUGUUAAACGGGCUAAGGAAUGGAAAUUGAGCGAAACCGGGGGUCAAAUUGAUGAUUUGGUGAAAAUUUGGAACUAGAGUUGUAGCCCUCAGAGUAACAGUGAACAAAAAAAAAUUCAGCCAGAAUUAGUGCUGUGGCUCUACCAGAUAGAGCUGCAGUGCUACAUACUCCAGAGACGAAAUCUGGAACGUGAAGCAACCCAGAGCCAUAGCGCCAGUCCGUACGGAAGCAGAAUUUAAGGUAUUCACAUAGUUUAUGUGACGACAGGGGUUGGAAUCAAGGCUAUCUGUUGAUCUUGAAAUUGAGAAAACAUGUAGAAGAAAUCGAAAUAGAGAAUGUUAGAAAGAAUGGUGCAGAACAGAGGUAACGAUAGGGUUUACAACAUUGCCCAUGACAACGUUGAGAAUAUUAAUGUUGGGAUAGCAGCGCAGGCGUUGCUGAACAAGUUACACCAGUUCAGCAACCAACACAAAAAAGUUUGAGGGACUAUGUGCUACCUACUGUCACGGUGGCACAGUCAUGCAUUAGAUCUCCAGCGGUUGAGGCUAAUAAUUUUGAAAUUAAGCCUACUAUUAUGCAAUUGGUACAAUCAUCAGUUCAGUUUGGGAGAUCACCAACGGAAGAUCCGGACUUACAUUUGGCUAAUUUCCUAGAGCUCUGCGCCACAUUUAAGGUGAAUGGAGUGACAAAUGAUGUAGUGAGGAUGAGACUGUGUUAGACAAAAUUUUCAAAUUUAAUAUAUUAAAAUUAAUGUCAAACACAAUUUCACCUAUGUCAAUUUUAUAGCAU